Molecule: ribosomal RNA, 485 nt
Filed under: uncultured Prevotellaceae bacterium
Lineage: Bacteria; Pseudomonadati; Bacteroidota; Bacteroidia; Bacteroidales; Prevotellaceae
Description: bacterial SSU rRNA
Rfam family: Bacterial small subunit ribosomal RNA
Source: RNAcentral
GAAUUGACGGGGGCCCGCACAAGCGGAGGAACAUGUGGUUUAAUUCGAUGAUACGCGAGGAACCUUACCCGGGCUCGAACGGCGCGCGAAGCGGGCGGAGACGCCCUCGCCCCUCGGGGCGCGCGCCGAGGUGCUGCAUGGUUGUCGUCAGCUCGUGCCGUGAGGUGUCGGCUCAAGUGCCAUAACGAGCGCAACCCCUGCCGCCAGUUGCCAACAGGCAAAGCUGGGGACUCUGGCGGGACUGCCACCGCAAGGUGCGAGGAGGGGGGGGAUGACGUCAAAUCAGCACGGCCCUUACGUCCGGGGCGACACACGUGUUACAAUGGCGGCCACAGAGGGAAGCCACCCCGCGAGGGGGCGCGGAUCCGAAAAAGCCGCCUCAGUUCGGACUGGAGUCUGCAACCCGACUCCACGAAGCUGGAUUCGCUAGUAAUCGCGCAUCAGCCAUGGCGCGGUGAAUACGUUCCCGGGCCUUGUACACACCG